CUGGAGGUAUCAGAAGUGCGAAUGCUGACAUAAGUAACGAUAAAGCGGGUGAAAAGCCCGCUCGCCGGAAGACCAAGGGUUCCUGUCCAACGUUAAUCGGGGCAGGGUGAGUCGACCCCUAAGGCGAGGCCGAAAGGCGUAGUCGAUGGGAAACAGGUUAAUAUUCCUGUACUUGGUGUUACUGCGAAGGGGGGACGGAGAAGGCUAUGUUGGCCGGGCGACGGUUGUCCCGGUUUAAGCGUGUAGGCUGGUUUUCCAGGCAAAUCCGGAAAAUCAAGGCUGAGGCGUGAUGACGAGGCACUACGGUGCUGAAGCAACAAAUGCCCUGCUUCCAGGAAAAGCCUCUAAGCAUCAGGUAACAUCAAAUCGUACCCCAAACCGACACAGGUGGUCAGGUAGAGAAUACCAAGGCGCUUGAGAGAACUCGGGUGAAGGAACUAGGCAAAAUGGUGCCGUAACUUCGGGAGAAGGCACGCUGAUAUGUAGGUGAAGUCCCUCGCGG
RNAcentral lists this ribosomal RNA (502 nucleotides) under Escherichia coli. RNAcentral describes it as "partial 23S ribosomal RNA". It matches the Rfam family "Bacterial large subunit ribosomal RNA", at positions 1273 to 1776 of the family's 2925-position model. The record is from RNAcentral. Lineage: Bacteria; Pseudomonadati; Pseudomonadota; Gammaproteobacteria; Enterobacterales; Enterobacteriaceae.